This 76-nucleotide transfer RNA is filed under the name Chloroflexota bacterium. Its description in RNAcentral is "tRNA-Trp". It matches the Rfam family "tRNA". From Rfam's summary of the family: Transfer RNA (tRNA) molecules are approximately 80 nucleotides in length. Their secondary structure includes four short double-helical elements and three loops (D, anti-codon, and T loops). The record is from RNAcentral. Lineage: Bacteria; Bacillati; Chloroflexota. RNAcentral also lists the same sequence under 2 other names.
AGGGGUGUAGCUCAGCUGGAAGAGCGGCGGUCUCCAAAACCGUAGGUCCGGGGUUCGAGCCCUCGCACCCCUGCCA